UAGGGAAUCUUCCGCAAUGGGCGAAAGCCUGACGGAGCAACGCCGCGUGAGUGAUGAAGGUCUUCGGAUCGUAAAACUCUGUUAUUAGGGAAGAACAAAUGUGUAAGUAACUAUGCACGUCUUGACGGUACCUAAUCAGAAAGCCACGGCUAACUACGUGCCAGCAGCCGCGGUAAUACGUAGGUGGCAAGCGUUAUCCGGAAUUAUUGGGCGUAAAGCGCGCGUAGGCGGUUUUUUAAGUCUGAUGUGAAAGCCCACGGCUCAACCGUGGAGGGUCAUUGGAAACUGGAAAACUUGAGUGCAGAAGAGGAAAGUGGAAUUCCAUGUGUAGCGGUGAAAUGCGCAGAGAUAUGGAGGAACUCCAGUGGCGAAGGCGACUUUCUGGUCUGUAACUGACGCUGAUGUGCGAAAGCGUGGGGAUCAAACAGG
Molecule: ribosomal RNA, 429 nt
Filed under: Actinomycetes bacterium
Lineage: Bacteria; Bacillati; Actinomycetota; Actinomycetes
Description: Actinobacteria bacterium partial 16S ribosomal RNA
Rfam family: Bacterial small subunit ribosomal RNA
Source: RNAcentral